CCCCUCCCCCAGCCCCAGCCCGGAGCCUUAACCCCGUCGUGGCUGCGCCGCCGGCGGCAGGGGUCACCGCCCUGCGGGCGGGCAAGCGGGCUGGUGUGCUCCGGUCCCGGUGGUAGUUAACGGCACAGGCGGGCAUCCAGACUUUGGCCUGGUCAUGGAAAUUCUUCUGAAUUUUCACAGCCACCCUUCAUGUUGCUUUCUCAAGCUCCAGAUUCUCAGAUCCGCAUGCCCGGAAGGCUGCAGGUGAAGACCCAGGAAAAGCUGUUGAAGAUUCUGCUCACUCCCAGUCUAACCACUGUUCUUGCACUGGAGGUAUUGAAAAUGUCAGUUUGCAUUCAAUAGUUACAGCCAUUCACUAAACACCUACAUUGUAAUGGUCCUGGAGAUUAAAGCCACAUUCUAUGAGCUGGAGAAGCCCAGCCAGGGAGGCAGGCCUG
Molecule: long non-coding RNA, 437 nt
Organism: Manis javanica (Malayan pangolin)
Lineage: Eukaryota; Metazoa; Chordata; Mammalia; Pholidota; Manidae
Source: RefSeq, a predicted model, not a curated record